UUGAACGCUGGCGGCAUGCCUUACACAUGCAAGUCGAACGGCAGCACGGGAGUAAUCCUGGUGGCGAGUGGCGAACGGGUGAGUAAUACAUCGGAACGUGUCCUGUAGUGGGGGAUAGCCCGGCGAAAGCCGGAUUAAUACCGCAUACGAUCUACGGAAGAAAGCGGGGGAUCCUUCGGGACCUCGCGCUAUAGGGGCGGCCGAUGGCAGAUUAGCUAGUUGGUGGGGUAAAGGCCUACCAAGGCGACGAUCUGUAGCUG
Molecule: ribosomal RNA, 260 nt
Filed under: Burkholderia sp. ISOM206_OTU863
Lineage: Bacteria; Pseudomonadati; Pseudomonadota; Betaproteobacteria; Burkholderiales; Burkholderiaceae
Description: partial 16S ribosomal RNA
Rfam family: Bacterial small subunit ribosomal RNA
Source: RNAcentral